AAUCCAUGCAUUAGGCACUUCCGGAUUAAGUCUUUGAAUCAUUUCCAUGCUUUAUAUAGCGUCUCAUCCUCCAUCUGUCGAAAAUAUGUGAUGUCAUUUCUAAGCUU
Non-coding RNA from Gossypium raimondii (Peruvian cotton), 107 nucleotides. The record is from Rfam. Lineage: Eukaryota; Viridiplantae; Streptophyta; Magnoliopsida; Malvales; Malvaceae.